This 266-nucleotide ribosomal RNA is filed under the name uncultured bacterium. RNAcentral's name for it is "partial 16S ribosomal RNA". It matches the Rfam family "Bacterial small subunit ribosomal RNA", at positions 793 to 1055 of the family's 1533-position model. The record is from RNAcentral.
GUCCACGCCGUAAACGAUGAGUGCUAGGUGCUGCGGGUAUUGACCCCUGCGGUGCCGUAGCUAACGCGUUAAGCACUCCGCCUGGGGAGUACGGUCGCAAGACUAAAACUCAAAGGAAUUGACGGGGGCCCGCACAAGUGGUGGAGCAUGUGGUUCAAUUCGACGCAACGCGCAGAACCUUACCUGGGUUAAAUCCACUCGAACGGAGUAGAGAUAUUCUGGUGCCCUUCUGGGGAGCGAGUGAGAAGGUGCUGCAUGGCUGUCGU